RNAcentral lists this ribosomal RNA (1440 nucleotides) under Lactiplantibacillus plantarum. RNAcentral's name for it is "bacterial SSU rRNA". It matches the Rfam family "Bacterial small subunit ribosomal RNA". The record is from RNAcentral. Lineage: Bacteria; Bacillati; Bacillota; Bacilli; Lactobacillales; Lactobacillaceae.
UGCAAGUCGAACGAACUCUGGUAUUGAUUGGUGCUUGCAUCAUGAUUUACAUUUGAGUGAGUGGCGAACUGGUGAGUAACACGUGGGAAACCUGCCCAGAAGCGGGGGAUAACACCUGGAAACAGAUGCUAAUACCGCAUAACAACUUGGACCGCAUGGUCCGAGUUUGAAAGAUGGCUUCGGCUAUCACUUUUGGAUGGUCCCGCGGCGUAUUAGCUAGAUGGUGGGGUAAUGGCUCACCAUGGCAAUGAUACGUAGCCGACCUGAGAGGGUAAUCGGCCACAUUGGGACUGAGACACGGCCCAAACUCCUACGGGAGGCAGCAGUAGGGAAUCUUCCACAAUGGACGAAAGUCUGAUGGAGCAACGCCGCGUGAGUGAAGAAGGGUUUCGGCUCGUAAAACUCUGUUGUUAAAGAAGAACAUAUCUGAGAGUAACUGUUCAGGUAUUGACGGUAUUUAACCAGAAAGCCACGGCUAACUACGUGCCAGCAGCCGCGGUAAUACGUAGGUGGCAAGCGUUGUCCGGAUUUAUUGGGCGUAAAGCGAGCGCAGGCGGUUUUUUAAGUCUGAUGUGAAAGCCUUCGGCUCAACCGAAGAAGUGCAUCGGAAACUGGGAAACUUGAGUGCAGAAGAGGACAGUGGAACUCCAUGUGUAGCGGUGAAAUGCGUAGAUAUAUGGAAGAACACCAGUGGCGAAGGCGGCUGUCUGGUCUGUAACUGACGCUGAGGCUCGAAAGUAUGGGUAGCAAACAGGAUUAGAUACCCUGGUAGUCCAUACCGUAAACGAUGAAUGCUAAGUGUUGGAGGGUUUCCGCCCUUCAGUGCUGCAGCUAACGCAUUAAGCAUUCCGCCUGGGGAGUACGGCCGCAAGGCUGAAACUCAAAGGAAUUGACGGGGGCCCGCACAAGCGGUGGAGCAUGUGGUUUAAUUCGAAGCUACGCGAAGAACCUUACCAGGUCUUGACAUACUAUGCAAAUCUAAGAGAUUAGACGUUCCCUUCGGGGACAUGGAUACAGGUGGUGCAUGGUUGUCGUCAGCUCGUGUCGUGAGAUGUUGGGUUAAGUCCCGCAACGAGCGCAACCCUUAUUAUCAGUUGCCAGCAUUAAGUUGGGCACUCUGGUGAGACUGCCGGUGACAAACCGGAGGAAGGUGGGGAUGACGUCAAAUCAUCAUGCCCCUUAUGACCUGGGCUACACACGUGCUACAAUGGAUGGUACAACGAGUUGCGAACUCGCGAGAGUAAGCUAAUCUCUUAAAGCCAUUCUCAGUUCGGAUUGUAGGCUGCAACUCGCCUACAUGAAGUCGGAAUCGCUAGUAAUCGCGGAUCAGCAUGCCGCGGUGAAUACGUUCCCGGGCCUUGUACACACCGCCCGUCACACCAUGAGAGUUUGUAACACCCAAAGUCGGUGGGGUAACCUUUUAGGAACCAGCCGCCUAAG